Molecule: non-coding RNA, 1081 nt
Organism: Xyrichtys novacula (pearly razorfish)
Lineage: Eukaryota; Metazoa; Chordata; Actinopteri; Labriformes; Labridae
Source: the annotation of a GenBank genome assembly
UAGGCUUGUGCAGUGGGUUAUGAAGUAAUCUACAGGUGGCGCCACACGCAUCUUUUUAUUGAAUCAAUUAAGAUGUUAAAUUUAUCUGAGCCACAUGAUCAGCUCCUACACCUGACCUUUCUAUUUAGGAUGCUUUCAAGUCUUUACAUGGAUUUGACACCCAUCCUGUUCACUUUACAGCAUGCAAUUAUGUUCAGUGUUGGACACAGAGAUAUCCUGUUCUCUCUCUCUCUUUUUUUUUUUUUUUCUAUCAGAGGAGUCUUAACACCACCCUGACGACUGCACAGGUUUGGGUCAAUUUGCGGGAGCAGGCUAUUGUCCCAUCCCAGAAUUAGCAGCAUUCUGAUCCUUAACAUCUCAUGUUGCGAUCAGCCCUCUCGGCAUUGUUGUGCUCCUCUCUCAAAGUGAUGAUCAAAUCCUUUAAUGUCCGCGUUGAGGUCAUAAUCUACCCUUCCGAAAGUGCUUAUGCCACUAACAGAGGCCCCCGCGCUCUAUCGACAACUAUCCCCCAAUAAGUCUCCCAGUAUCCAAAAGUGGAGUUGCAUUUGCACCCUUUGGACUUAAGCUCUGUCUUGCCUGUAAUCUUCCGCGGGUCAGAUUGCAUCCUGAUGCUCUCAAAUCGCUCUAAUAGAGAGUAUCCUCUGCUCGGUGUCGGUACUAUAGGAAGGCCCUUAUUAUGCUCCUGUCUGUGGCAUAACUCUUUUAAUUGGUUGAUCUGCCUGGCGUCUCCAACCCUGGAGCGCGCGGAUUAGAGAGGCCGCUCGGUAGCCGCUGCUGCUGUGUGUGGACUUUUAUAGUCUCCUGAAAUGAUCCACUUCCAAACAUACAGAGACCCUCCCUCUCUAGCUGCCCCACACUGCAGACCACAAGUGUCAAGAUGCCUGCAGCCGUGAUUCCUGGAUCCUGACACCACCUUGGGUUGUUGGGUUCAUUGGUGCCAUUUUACGCGCUGCGGUCAGAGUUAAAAGGCCUGACUCUUGGGAGUUUUCCAAAACAGGUGAAGAUGAUAUUGUAUUCUGUCAUUGUAAGGGCUUAAAAGAUAAUAAAAAAGUUUACUUAGGUGUGAUUAACAGGAUACAAU